AUCAACAGGAAGAGCGCGUUUAGCAGAAAGUGAAGCUCGUCUGCUUAGGGGUGAAAGCUGCUCUUACUCUCUAUACAAUGAAGAGACUGCUGAUUCUUUUCUGUGUUUGUGCUCUUGUCCUGUCGUCGGUCUGGGCAAACGAGGGGAAAGAAGCACCUGCCACAAGCAAACAGGAAACAUCGACAGCUUCUAAAAUUACCAAGGAUCCCAUGAGCUCAGCUUGUGCUGUAAUGGUAAAUGUGGCCUUUACUCUCAUGCCGCUUGUUUUCCAGAGACUCUUCUAGGCACUCCAUAUGUAGUUCCUAUAUACGUGCUGCAGAGAGAUCCAUCUGUGGGGAGUUUCUCAUACUGGGAUGACCCCAGUCUGCAAGAUGCUGCAAACCAUUAAGUACACAGCACUGUAUUGUAAAAUGCAAAUUUCCAUGCAUGUUAUUGGUGUUACAUUAGUCUUGAAAACCAUGUCAAUUUUGAGAAAGUUUGGCAUUGAGUCACCGUCAUAAAGUUGGUAAUUGGGGUUACUAUCCCCACUUUCUUUUUGCUUUGGAGGUGAUUGCAAUACCUCUUCCAAUAAAUGAUUCUUCUGCUGAA
This is a long non-coding RNA of Polypterus senegalus (gray bichir), 588 nucleotides long. RefSeq lists it as uncharacterized. The record is from RefSeq and is a predicted model, not a curated record. Lineage: Eukaryota; Metazoa; Chordata; Cladistia; Polypteriformes; Polypteridae. The transcript is spliced from 4 exons.